UACGUAGGGUGCGAGCGUUAAUCGGAAUUACUGGGCGUAAAGCGUGCGCAGGCGGUUCGUUGUGUCGGCGGUGAAAGCCCCGGGCUUAACCUGGGAACGGCCGUUGAAACUGGCGAACUGGAGUGUGGCAGAGGGGGGUGGAAUUCCGCGUGUAGCGGUGAAAUGCGUAGAUAUUGGGAGGAACACCAGUGGCGAAGGCGGCUCACUGGACCGGAACUGACGCUGAGGCGCGAAAGCGUGGGGAGCAAACAGG
This 253-nucleotide ribosomal RNA is filed under the name uncultured bacterium. Its description in RNAcentral is "partial 16S ribosomal RNA". It matches the Rfam family "Bacterial small subunit ribosomal RNA", at positions 524 to 776 of the family's 1533-position model. The record is from RNAcentral.